This 478-nucleotide ribosomal RNA is filed under the name uncultured bacterium. Its description in RNAcentral is "partial 16S ribosomal RNA". It matches the Rfam family "Bacterial small subunit ribosomal RNA", at positions 355 to 813 of the family's 1533-position model. The record is from RNAcentral.
UGGGGAAUUUUGGACAAUGGGGGCAACCCUGAUCCAGCAAUGCCGCGUGUGUGAAGAAGGCCUUCGGGUUGUAAGCACUUUUGUCCGGAAAGAGAACGCCGUGGUUAAUACCCGUGGCGGAUGACGGUACCGGAAGAAUAAGCACCGGCUAACUACGUGCCAGCAGCCAGCGGUAAUACGUAGGGUGCAAGCGUUAAUCGGAAUUACUGGGCGUAAAGCGUGCGCAGGCGGUCCGCUAAGACAGAUGUGAAAUCCCCCGGGCUUAAACCUGGGAACUGCAAUUUGUGACAUGGCGGGCUAGAGUAUGGCAGAGGGGGGUAGAAUUCCACGUGUAGCAGUGAAAUGCGGUAAGAGAUGUGGAGGAAUACCGAUGGCGAAGGCAGCCCCCCUGGGCCAAUACUGACGCUCAAUGCACGAAAAGCGGUGGGGAGCAAAACAGGAUUAGAUCACCCUGGUAGUCCACGCCCUAAACGAUGUC